Molecule: RNA transcript, 1139 nt
Organism: Fragaria vesca subsp. vesca
Lineage: Eukaryota; Viridiplantae; Streptophyta; Magnoliopsida; Rosales; Rosaceae
Exons: 7
Source: RefSeq, a predicted model, not a curated record
GGUCGCUCGUACACCAGAUUGAAAAAGAGAGGGAGACCAGAGAGGUAAUUGCUUUCAAAUUCCUUUUUUCCUCUUUUAUCGUUGAAGCUGCUCUCCAGAGAGGCGCACUAAGGGCCUCCAUCGAGUUUUUGACCUCAUAUAGGGAGAGAUAGAGAGAAGGCGAGCAAUUUGCAUGAUCAAGCUCAGGAGUGCCUCUCAGGGAAUUUCCUGUGAUUGAGUAAUAGGAAUCGAAGAAGUUAAUGACAGAAAUUUGGGAUUUCUUUUCGUAUUGGAUUAUUUGGUUGAACAGAUCUGGGAACGAGCUUUGCGUUUGUGAUCAGGAACAAGAAGAAACGGGAUUCAGGGUUUCUGUGGCUACAAGUAUGUCUCUUUGGUAUCAUUUGCUUGCGACAAAAACGGGUUGUUGAACAAAAUGGAAGGGUCAUGAAAAUAAAAUAUGAUGAGAGAAAUAUGCAUACCAAUUCUUACCAUGAUCAGGUUCCAGUAAGAGAUAUCUAUUACAUUGUUCAGGGAACUAUUAGUUGCUGUAUAGUGCAACCUGUUUGGAUUCAGACAUGGGCCGUGAAAAACGAAUGUCCUCAAGAAGAAGCUUUUUUCAAUACUUUGAGAACGAAUAAAGUGCUGAUCACAUUGAAAAUUCCCAAUUUCUGAAAAUACAUCAGCUGAAAAUGCAAAUAUAAUAGGUAGAUGGCGUGAAAGCACCAAGUCCUCAAGAAAAAGAUCAUUUCAAAAUUUGGAAGAUGAAGGAACAUCAGUAGCUCCUGAUAUUUUCGAAGAACAAAAUAAUGUUAUUGGUGUUCAAACAGUAGAGACAGACAAGUAAAUGUUCAUGCUUGGUUUUGAUGAGGCGUGAUUGGUUUUUAAUCUGAUGAGGGGUGAUCGCUUCCUGCAGUCUUUUGAUGUUUUCUAUUGGCGAGACAUGAACUACAAAGGUUGACUGGUAAGGCUCGUUGAUGGUUUUGAGACAAUUUGGUUCGAUCUCAGUUUGAUUCUUUUCUGGGUUUUCAUCUGCAUGUAAGCUUCUAUCCUUCUCCCUGUGCUUGCUCUUCUUAGUUUAUCUUGAUUUCCAUCGAUUUGUUCUUGAGGACACCCAAUUUGUCAUGUCUAUUGGUUUGGGAAGGAUGUAGAUCAGAGAUAUA